UAUAAUCGGUAAUACCAAUAUCGUUCUUCCCAAGAGACUCGAAAGGCGUUUAUCGUUCGUGUGAAUCAAAAUCGUAAGACUUGAAAAGAAAGAAUUAAUUGUUGUGAAUGCAAAAACAUAAAAUAAACAUGCAAUGUGGUUGAUUCAAUUGACAAAAAAGACUAUGGAUGAAUGGAGUUGUUGGGGGUUGACAAUUUCAUCUUAUUUGCUCCCUCUUAUCUACUUAUCUUGUUUAAUGUGCUUGAUUAUCUAAUUGUUAUGCAAACUUUCUUGGCCUAUCCUUAACCCUGUCCCUCGGCGAAAAGAGCCUAUUACUAAUUACCGGCUUGCUAUCCCUAGCCUCCCCUAGCAAUUAAUAAUGCAUUAAGAAAAGAAGCAAAAACUAUUGAUCGUCCUACCCCUUAUCCCUAGGUUGGUAUUGCUUAAUCAAGGAAUUUCUCACUAGUUCAUGACAUUACUGUACGUUCCCGUAUCANUAAAGACAAACAACAUUUAUCGAAUGAGUUAAA
This 509-nucleotide long non-coding RNA is filed under the name Vigna radiata. RNAcentral's name for it is "long non-coding RNA (VRAD_LNC008487)". Lineage: Eukaryota; Viridiplantae; Streptophyta; Magnoliopsida; Fabales; Fabaceae. The record is from RNAcentral.